UACGUAGGUGGCAAGCGUUGUCCGGAAUUAUUGGGCGUAAAGCGCGCGCAGGUGGUUUCUUAAGUCUGAUGUGAAAGCCCACGGCUCAACCGUGGAGGGUCAUUGGAAACUGGGGAACUUGAGUGCAGGAGAGAAGAGUGGAAUUCCACGUGUAGCGGUGAAAUGCGUAGAGAUGUGGAGGAACACCAGUGUCGAAGGCGACUCUUUGGCCUGUAACUGACACUGAGGCGCGAAAGCGUGGGGAGCAAACAGG
This 253-nucleotide ribosomal RNA is filed under the name uncultured bacterium. RNAcentral's name for it is "partial 16S ribosomal RNA". It matches the Rfam family "Bacterial small subunit ribosomal RNA", at positions 524 to 776 of the family's 1533-position model. The record is from RNAcentral.